This is a long non-coding RNA of Camellia sinensis, 467 nucleotides long. RefSeq lists it as uncharacterized. The record is from RefSeq and is a predicted model, not a curated record. NCBI's taxonomy places the organism in Eukaryota, Viridiplantae, Streptophyta, Magnoliopsida, Ericales, Theaceae.
AAAAUUUCUUUCUAACUUUGAUUCAAACAGGCAAUAAACAAUCAUUGAUGCUGGUUUCACAAAAUUGCAUGUAACCUGGAAAACUAGAAGUUUGAAUUGAAAUAUUUCUGUCUACAUUUGUUUCUCUUGUUUUACUUUUGGAUUUUCCUACUAAUCAUGUGAUACAGUAAGCAUCAGGUAUAUCCUUACUUGCAGUCAAUUGGUUUUGUUGGUCCUGGGAUUGCGCUCGAUGGUCUAACCAUGGCAAAGCACACAUCAAUAGCAUCUGCUUGGCUUACUUUAGUUGUUGGGCUAAAAUCAUUUAGUCAUUGUGGGUUCCUUGUGAAUCUUCAGGUUUCUUAAGAAGCAAGGUUUCAAAGGACAAUUUAAAGGAGGAGGUAUCUCAUGAACUCGUAGAUCGCCAUUUUGAUUGGUUUUUGAUGACGUUUGGAAGCAUACUUGCAAAUUAAGAUCAAGUGUUAAAUUUU